Molecule: long non-coding RNA, 371 nt
Filed under: Musa acuminata (dwarf banana)
Lineage: Eukaryota; Viridiplantae; Streptophyta; Magnoliopsida; Zingiberales; Musaceae
Description: long non-coding RNA (MACU_LNC004955)
Source: RNAcentral
GGGUUCAUGGCGGAUUGGGGGCCGGUGGUGGUGGCGGUGAUGCUGUUCGUGCUGCUGUCGCCGGGGCUGCUGAUCCAGCUGCCGGCCAGGGGGAGGGUGGUGGAGUUCGGCAACAUGCAGACGAGCGGCCUCUCCAUCCUCGUCCACGCCAUCCUCUACUUCGCUCUCGUCACCAUCUUCCUCAUCGCCAUCGGCGUCCACAUCUACGCCGGCUGACACGCCACCACCAUCACCUCCGAUGGAUGGUCAUAAUUAGGUUUGUGCUAGCUGGAUUUCUAAGAGGAGGAUGCGUUGUUGUGUCGUGUCGGAGUACGGUCAACGAAAACAUGUUCUUGGAGAUUAGCUUGAUGCCGAGCUUGAUUUGCUGUUGU